This 379-nucleotide unclassified non-coding RNA is filed under the name soil metagenome. RNAcentral's name for it is "partial contains 5.8S ribosomal RNA, internal transcribed spacer 2, and large subunit ribosomal RNA". The stretch from base 1 to 120 matches the Rfam family "5.8S ribosomal RNA", at positions 35 to 154 of the family's 154-position model. The record is from RNAcentral.
GAUGAAGAACGCAGCGAAAUGCGAUAAGUAAUGUGAAUUGCAGAAUUCAGUGAAUCAUCGAAUCUUUGAACGCACCUUGCACCCUUUGGCAUUCCGAAGGGUAUGCUCGUUUGAGUGUCAUUGUACUCUCACACUUCCAAUCUUUGGAUUGGGAGCAGUGGACUUGGGUGUUGCUGCUUACUGUGGCUCACCUCAAAUCGAUUCGUGAACCUCUUGGUUGGACAUAGUACGGCGUGAUAAGUGUCUUCGCCGGCACCUCAGUAGAGGGUGGCUGAUCAGGAGCUCUGUGCUUCAAACCGUCCUCGGACAAAAACUGACAACUUGACCUCAAAUCGAGUAGGACUACCCGCUGAACUUAAGCAUAUCAAUAAGCGGAGGA